GAUGAACGCUGGCGGCGUGCCUAAUACAUGCAAGUCGAGCGCGAGAGUGAGGAGCUUGCUCCUCAUAAUCGAGCGGCGGACGGGUGAGUAACACGUAGGCAACCUACCCUUGAGAUUGGGAUAACUACCGGAAACGGUAGCUAAUACCGGAUACGACUUUUCCACACAAGUGGAAUGGUUAAAAGGCGGAUUUAUCUGCCGCUCAUGGAUGGGCCUGCGGUGCAUUAGCUAGUUGGGGGGGUGGUGGCUCACAAAGGCGACGAUGCAUAGCCGACCUGAGAGGGUGAUCGGCCACACUGGGACUGAGACACGGCCCAGACUCCUACGGGAGGCAGCAGUAGGGAAUCUUCCGCAAUGGACGCAAGUCUGACGGAGCAACGCCGCGUGAGUGAUGAAGGGUUUCGGCUCGUAAAACUCUGUUGUUAAGGAAGAACACUUGAGGUAGUAACUGGCCUUGAGAUGACGGUACUUAACCAGAAAGCCACGGCUAACUACGUGCCAGCCGCCGCAGUAA
This 514-nucleotide ribosomal RNA is filed under the name uncultured bacterium. RNAcentral's name for it is "partial 16S ribosomal RNA". It matches the Rfam family "Bacterial small subunit ribosomal RNA", at positions 28 to 523 of the family's 1533-position model. The record is from RNAcentral.